Molecule: ribosomal RNA, 333 nt
Filed under: Brachionus calyciflorus
Lineage: Eukaryota; Metazoa; Rotifera; Eurotatoria; Ploima; Brachionidae
Description: partial 12S ribosomal RNA
Source: RNAcentral
AUGAGUGAUGAUACAAGAUAAUUAAAUUACAAAUUCAAACAAUUUGGCGGUAAGAAAAGAACUCAGAGAAACCUAAGUAUUAAUUGGAUGAUCCACCAUCAUACAUUCUUAUUAUAUUUGUUACCUGUAUGUCUGUUUAGUCUAUCGUUAGAUCUUUAGACUAUUAAAUUUAUAAAUAUAAAUUCAGGUCCAUAUAGGGAUUGUUAAUAAGAUAACUCGGGUUGCAUUUAAAACUACUAGUAGCUUAAUCAAUAUUAGCUUAAUUCGGAUUUGAAAGUAAAUAUUUCUGUAAAUAUAUUGAAUUCCUCUUUUCUUAAGUACAAAUCCCGUACC